CGGGGCGUGGCGCAGCCUGGUCGCGCGCACCGUUCGGGUGGGUGAGGGCCCCGGUUCAAAUCCGGGCGCCCCGA
This 74-nucleotide transfer RNA is filed under the name Solirubrobacterales bacterium. RNAcentral's name for it is "tRNA-Pro". It matches the Rfam family "tRNA". Rfam says of the family: Transfer RNA (tRNA) molecules are approximately 80 nucleotides in length. Their secondary structure includes four short double-helical elements and three loops (D, anti-codon, and T loops). The record is from RNAcentral. Lineage: Bacteria; Bacillati; Actinomycetota; Thermoleophilia; Solirubrobacterales.